GUCCUUUUGUUAAUUAAUUUAAGGUCUAACCUGCCCACUGAAUUUUAAAUGGCCGCAGUAUUAUGACUGUGCAAAGGUAGCAUAAUCAUUAGUUUUUUAAUUAAAAGCUUGUAUGAAAGGUUGGACGAGAUAGAUUCUGUCUCUAUUUAAUUUAAAUUAGAAUUUAAUUUUUAAGUUAAAAAGCUUAAAUAAAUUUAAAAGACGAGAAGACCCUAUAGAUCUUUAUAAUUUAUUAAUUAGUUUUGAUUAAGAUUUUUUUAAACAUUAGUUUUAUAAAUUAUUUUAUUGGGGUAAUAAAAAGAUUAAAAUAAUUCUUUUUAAUUAUUUACAUUAAUUUAUGAAUUUUUGAUCCAGUUUUAUUGAUUAUAAGAUUAAGUUACCUUAGGGAUAACAGCGUAAUUUUUUUAGAGAGUUCCUAUCGAUAAAAAAGUUUGCGACCUCGAUGUUGGAUUAAAAUUUAGUUUAGGCGUAGAAGUUUAAAUAUUUGGUCUGUUCGACCAUUAAAAUUUUACAUGAUCUGAGUUCAGACCGGUGUAAGCCAGGUCGGUUUCUAUCUUUAAAAUUUAAAAAUAUUUUAGUACGAAAGGACCAAAUAUUUAAUAUAGAUAUAUUUAAAAAAUUGAAUAUUAUUAA
Molecule: ribosomal RNA, 633 nt
Filed under: Loricera pilicornis
Lineage: Eukaryota; Metazoa; Arthropoda; Insecta; Coleoptera; Carabidae
Description: partial large subunit ribosomal RNA
Rfam family: Bacterial large subunit ribosomal RNA
Source: RNAcentral